GUGGGGAAUAUUGGGCAAUGGGCGAAAGCCUGACCCAGCGACGCCGCGUGGGUGAUGAAGGCCUUCGGGUUGUAAAGCCCUGUCAUGCGGAAAGAACAGUCCUGUGGCUAAUAUCCACAGGAUUUGACGGUACCGCAGGAGGAAGCACCGGCUAACUCCGUGCCAGCAGCCGCGGUAAUACGGAGGGUGCAAGCGUUGUUCGGAAUUAUUGGGCGUAAAGGACGCGUAGGCGGUAAUGAAAGUCAGGUGUGAAAUACUUUGGCUCAACUGAAGAACUGCAUCUGAAACUUCAUAACUAGAGUACAGAAGAGGGAAACGGAAUUCCCGGUGUAGAGGUGAAAUUCGUAGAUAUCGGGAGGAACACCAGUGGCGGAGGCGGUUUCCUGGUCUGAUACUGACGCUGAGGCGUGAAAGUGUGGGGAGCAAACAGGAUUAGAUACCCGAGUAGUCC
RNAcentral lists this ribosomal RNA (451 nucleotides) under uncultured bacterium. RNAcentral describes it as "partial 16S ribosomal RNA". It matches the Rfam family "Bacterial small subunit ribosomal RNA", at positions 354 to 796 of the family's 1533-position model. The record is from RNAcentral.